This 77-nucleotide transfer RNA is filed under the name bacterium. Its description in RNAcentral is "tRNA-Met". It matches the Rfam family "tRNA". Rfam says of the family: Transfer RNA (tRNA) molecules are approximately 80 nucleotides in length. Their secondary structure includes four short double-helical elements and three loops (D, anti-codon, and T loops). The record is from RNAcentral.
GUCAGGGUAGCUCAGCUGGUUAGAGCACGGGAUUCAUAACCCCGAGGUCGGCGGUUCAAGUCCGCCCCUUGACACCA